GAACCGUGCGAACGUUGUUCGGAAUCACUGGGCUUAAAGGGCGCGUAGGCGGCCGGGUUGGUCGUGGGUGAAAUCCCCCAGCUUAACUGGGGAACUGCCUACGAUACUGCCAUGGCUCGAGGGAGGAAGGGGCGGUCGGAACUGUCGGUGGAGCGGUGAAAUGCGUUGAUAUCGACAGGAACGCCGGUGGCGAAAGCGGACCGCUGGCCCUCUUCUGACGCUGAGGCGCGAAAGCCAGGGGAGCGAACGGGAUUAGAUACCCCGGUAGUCCUGGCCUUAAACGAUGGGCACUAGGUAGUGGGCUCGACCUGGGCGCACUGCCGCAGCGAAAGUCAUUAGUGCCCCGCCUGGGGAGUAUGGUCGCAAGGCUGAA
Molecule: ribosomal RNA, 373 nt
Filed under: uncultured bacterium
Lineage: Bacteria
Description: bacterial SSU rRNA
Rfam family: Bacterial small subunit ribosomal RNA
Source: RNAcentral